This 75-nucleotide transfer RNA is filed under the name Synergistota bacterium. RNAcentral's name for it is "Synergistetes bacterium (oil production facility metagenome) tRNA-Lys". It matches the Rfam family "tRNA". From Rfam's summary of the family: Transfer RNA (tRNA) molecules are approximately 80 nucleotides in length. Their secondary structure includes four short double-helical elements and three loops (D, anti-codon, and T loops). The record is from RNAcentral. Lineage: Bacteria; Thermotogati; Synergistota.
GGGCUGUUAGCUCAGUGGUAGAGCAUCGGACUUUUAAUCCGAGGGUCGCAGGUUCGAUCCCUGCACAGCCCACCA